ACGGUCUCAGUUCGGAUUGAAGGCUGAAAUUCGCCUUCAUGAAGCUGGAAUUGCUAGUAAUGGCAGGUCAGCAUACUGCCGUGAAUACGUUCCCGGGCCUUGUACACACCGCCCGUCACACCAUGAGAGUUGGAAAUACCCGAAGCCUGUGAGCUAACUGUAAAGAGGCAGCAGUCGAAGGUAGAGCCAAUGAUUGGGGUGAAGUCGUAACAAGGUACC
Molecule: ribosomal RNA, 219 nt
Filed under: uncultured bacterium
Lineage: Bacteria
Description: partial 16S ribosomal RNA
Rfam family: Bacterial small subunit ribosomal RNA
Source: RNAcentral